Long non-coding RNA from Oncorhynchus nerka (sockeye salmon), 412 nucleotides. RefSeq lists it as uncharacterized. The record is from RefSeq and is a predicted model, not a curated record. Lineage: Eukaryota; Metazoa; Chordata; Actinopteri; Salmoniformes; Salmonidae. The transcript is spliced from 3 exons.
CGAGAGAGAGACUGUUCGGAUGGCUCUGAUGAGGAAGGCUGUGAUUCUAACAAGGCCCUUCCUCCUGUCCUGCCAACUCUGGCUCAGACCUGUACUAGUCCAUCAGUGAGGUGUCGGGGCUCAACUUUGUGCAUCUCCCAAACUCAGCUGUGUGACACAUUGAAAGACUGCCCUGAUGGUUUUGAUGAGGAGUCCUGCAUUACUAAAUGCCCAAACCGAGGUGAGUUCCGGUGUAACGACAGGAGGAAAUGUAUUGAUAGGAGCCUCGUUUGUGAUGGACGCGCUCAUUGCCAUGAUGGCUCAGAUGAGAUUGGCUGUCCAACGAUAGCUGCUCCAACGUCCCAAACUGUGCCCCUGAAGUGCCGUAUGGGUUCCAGACUGUGCAAGGAUGGUAGAGAGUGUGUCCUGCACA